CCUACGGGAGGCAGCAGUGGGGAAUCUUGCGCAAUGGGCGAAAGCCUGACGCAGCGACGCCGCGUGAGGGAUGACGGCCUUCGGGUUGUAAACCUCUUUCAGCAGGGACGAAGCGCAAGUGACGGUACCUGCAGAAGAAGCUCCGGCUAACUACGUGCCAGCAGCCGCGGUAAU
This 174-nucleotide ribosomal RNA is filed under the name uncultured bacterium. RNAcentral's name for it is "partial 16S ribosomal RNA". It matches the Rfam family "Bacterial small subunit ribosomal RNA", at positions 338 to 524 of the family's 1533-position model. The record is from RNAcentral.